CUUGAACCUGGGAGGCGGAGCGAUUCUCGUGCCUCAGCCUCCCAAGUAGCUGGGAUUACCGACGUGUGCCACCACGCCCAGCUAAUUUUUGUAUUUUUAGUAGAGACGGGGUUUCACCAUGUUGGCCAGGCUGGUCUUGAACUCCCAACCUCAGGUGAUCCGCCCACCUUGGCCUCCCAAAGUCCUGGGAUUACAGGCGUGAGCCACCCACGCCAGG
RNAcentral lists this long non-coding RNA (217 nucleotides) under Homo sapiens (human). RNAcentral describes it as "HSALNT0297360". Lineage: Eukaryota; Metazoa; Chordata; Mammalia; Primates; Hominidae. The record is from RNAcentral.